AACGAACGCUGGCGGCGUGGAUAAGGCAUGCAAGUCGGACGAGAUUUUCCGUUGUAGCAAUACGAUGGAAAGUCUAGUGGCGAACGGGUGCUUAACACGUGGGCAACCUGCCAUGAAGUGGGGGAUAGCUCGCCGAAAGGCGAAUUAAUACCGCAUGUGAUUAGAGAGGACAUCCUUUCGAAAUUAAAGUCGGGGCAACCUGACGCUUCUUGUGGGGCCCGCGGCCUAUCAGCUAGUUGGUGAAGUAACGGCUCACCAAGGCUUUGACGGGUAGCUGGUCUGAGAGGACGACCAGCCACACUGGGACUGAGACACGGCCCAGACACCUACGGGUGGCAGCAGUCGAGAAUUUUUGACAAUGGGGGAAACCCUGAUCGAGCGACGCCGCGUGGAGGAUGAAGGUCUUCGGAUUGUAAACUCCUGUCAUUGGGGAACAAUGCACAGAUAUUAACUGUAUUUGUGUUGAUAGUACCCGAAGAGGAAGAGACGGCUAACUCUGUGCCAGCAGCCGCGGUAA
Molecule: ribosomal RNA, 517 nt
Filed under: uncultured bacterium
Lineage: Bacteria
Description: partial 16S ribosomal RNA
Rfam family: Bacterial small subunit ribosomal RNA
Source: RNAcentral